RNAcentral lists this ribosomal RNA (301 nucleotides) under uncultured bacterium. Its description in RNAcentral is "partial 16S ribosomal RNA". It matches the Rfam family "Bacterial small subunit ribosomal RNA", at positions 509 to 807 of the family's 1533-position model. The record is from RNAcentral.
CAGUCGCCGCGGGAAAACGAAGGGGGCUAGCGUUGCUCGGAAUGACUGGGCGUAAAGGGCGCGUAGGCGGCGGCCAAAGUCAGGCGUGAAAUUCCCGGGCUCAACCUGGGGGCUGCGUUUGAUACUUGGUUGCUUGAGUGGGGAAGAGGGUCGUGGAAUUCCCAGUGUAGAGGUGAAAUUCGUAGAUAUUCGGAAGAACACCAGUGGCGAAGGCGGCUCACUGGCUCAUUCUAGACGCUGAGGUGCGAAAGCGUGGGGAGCAAACAGGAUUAGAUACCCCGGUAGUCCCUGUCUCUUAUAC